Molecule: long non-coding RNA, 330 nt
Organism: Tachyglossus aculeatus (Australian echidna)
Lineage: Eukaryota; Metazoa; Chordata; Mammalia; Monotremata; Tachyglossidae
Exons: 3
Source: RefSeq, a predicted model, not a curated record
UAUGCUAAAAUGUAAAGGACUAAGUUAUAGGCCUGAAAGUAAAUGAAUUUCCUGAGAGAAAGUGUCUAGGUCACAGAAAACAUACCAACUUGUCCAGGGAAAUGGGGAAAAGACCAUGAGUCAAAACAAUCUGCUGAAGGAGAUGAAAAUCAAGAAGCAACAAGUUAUCACCCACUAGACCUCUGAACGGCACCUUGACAGGGAACUCGACAGGUGGGGGUGCUUCUGGAACUCUGAGGACUCACAGACAAGAAAGGGAAGGAAAAGAACAUCAUUUUCUCCUACAGUUCCAGAAAUUAAAAUACCCUCUGAACUGCAGAAGUAGACCAG